GACGAACGCUGGCGGCGUGCUUAACACAUGCAAGUCGAACGAUGAACCCGGAGCUUGCUCCGGUGGAUUAGUGGCGAACGGGUGAGUAACACGUGAGUAACCUGCCCUUGACUCUGGGAUAACUGCGGGAAACUGUAGCUAAUACCGGAUACGACCCUCGGCGGCAUCGCCAGGGGGUGGAAAGAAUUUCGGUCAAGGAUGGACUCGCGGCCUAUCAGGUAGUUGGUGAGGUAACGGCUCACCAAGGCGACGACGGGUUGCCGGCCUGAGAGGGUUGCCGGCCACACUGGGACUGAGACACGGCCCAGGCUCCUACGGGGGGCAGCAGUGGGGAAUAUUGGAAAAUGGGCGCAAGCCUUAUUCCGCAACGCCGCCUGAGGGGUGACGGCCUUCGGGUUGUAAACCUCUUUUAGUAGGGAAGAAGCCAAAGGGACGGUUCCUGCAGAAAAAGCCCCGGCUAACUACGUGCCAGCCGCCGCCGUAA
This 484-nucleotide ribosomal RNA is filed under the name uncultured bacterium. RNAcentral describes it as "partial 16S ribosomal RNA". It matches the Rfam family "Bacterial small subunit ribosomal RNA", at positions 28 to 523 of the family's 1533-position model. The record is from RNAcentral.